CGAAAGGAAGCUUUAUUGUUUCCGAGGACUCUGCUGGAGGAGUCAUACAUACUUCGCCAUUUCUUCCUCUGAUGUCCAUUUGCCAUGAUUGUCUGAGGAAGGGAGAAAAAGUCUUUGAAGUGGCUACCAGGAUCCUUUGCAGAUCUCUGGGAUGUCAUUGACUCAUGCUUCUAUGGUGGGUGACUCCCAACAUCAUCACAUUCUUCCAAUUCUCCCAGUAGGGUAUGCAGUAGUCAUAUAGGCAAAGCUUUCUGAGCUACAGCAAA
Molecule: unclassified non-coding RNA, 266 nt
Organism: Cercocebus atys (sooty mangabey)
Lineage: Eukaryota; Metazoa; Chordata; Mammalia; Primates; Cercopithecidae
Source: Ensembl